RNAcentral lists this long non-coding RNA (275 nucleotides) under Felis catus (domestic cat). RNAcentral's name for it is "lncRNA (ENSFCAG00000053267.1)". The record is from RNAcentral. Lineage: Eukaryota; Metazoa; Chordata; Mammalia; Carnivora; Felidae.
UCUGUGCCGCAAAGUCACUCACUGGUGACCUGAACCAUCUGUAUUCUCUCACCAACCCAGUUUAUUGCUUGUCUCUCUCUGGGAAUAUCAAGGAAAAAAAAUGGAGAAGAAGGAGUCUUAAUGGAACGUGUUCCCCUUAAUUAUCAUUAUAUCAGUCCUCUUUUCCCUAUAGGGGUUCCUGUCAGUCUCCCCCUGGACCCACCCCCUUCCUGAAUCAAAACGCUGGAAUCUUCUAUUGCUUCUCUUUAGCUAGCAUGCAGAGACAGAGAAAUAAA